This is a non-coding RNA of Misgurnus anguillicaudatus (oriental weatherfish), 727 nucleotides long. NCBI's taxonomy places the organism in Eukaryota, Metazoa, Chordata, Actinopteri, Cypriniformes, Cobitidae. The record is from RefSeq and is a predicted model, not a curated record.
GGAUUAGGUGAGCUGUGAUUGACAGCUGGUAUCGCCUAUCAGAGAGUGGCAGUCCCCUUUUAAGCGGUGAUUGGCUGCUGCUCUGAAUGCGUCAUGUCCGACUUCCCCCCCCUGGGGGUUUGCAACGUUAGCGGCAGUGUGUUGUCUGUCGUGCUGGUGCCCUUGUCCUGUCCGUGGUGUACGUGAUGGUGUACCCUCAAUUGGCUUAGGGUUUUCCUGCUGUUGGUUAACCUGUGCCUCAAAACAGUAAAUUGUCUGGGGUGAUGCCACUUUUCGGAGCUGGGGUCCCACGGGUGAUGGAGCUUUUCCGGUGGUGGUGCUUCCUCCUCAGGGCGUGCUGUGUAACACUUGACGUGUGUGGUUGUGUAGUCUGAGUGCACAGUGGGGUGUGUGUGUGUGCCUUUUGUAAACACUGAGUCGUGAUAAAGUAGUUUCUCCUGUUGGGAACCUCAGCCCUGCUGGUUUGUAUGUUUUGUUUUGUUUCUAUUAAUUUCUCAUUUUGAGAUUUGAUUGUGGUGAUUGUGCAUUUUGAAGUGGAGUGACUGACGUAUGUUGGGAGUGCUCAUUUUAAAGGAUUUUGUCUAAAUAAAAUGUAUUUUUGUACUAUACCCAUGUCUCUUGCUCACUCUAUUUAAAGAGGAACGAACUUGUGUGCCUUUCCACCCUUUUUGGGUGUAAGGAAUAUUUCCCUGGGUGUAAGUCCCGGGGUGGCGUAGUCGGAAUUUUA